This 633-nucleotide long non-coding RNA is filed under the name Mustela putorius furo (domestic ferret). RNAcentral's name for it is "lncRNA (ENSMPUG00000026652.1)". The record is from RNAcentral. Lineage: Eukaryota; Metazoa; Chordata; Mammalia; Carnivora; Mustelidae.
AUGAAAAUGGUGGCCUUCCAAUCUCCAGCCCGGAGGAGCCAAGAGCUUGGGGCCUCACUCCUCAGUGCACCCUCAGAGAAAAGCAGUGAAUCCAUCCCGUCUCCCUGGUCUCCAGCUGUGCUCCGAGCUCACCCGGCCUGUGACCAAGCGUUUCUGUCUCUCUCAGGUGUACGGCCCCGUUUGGAGUCUCCAAACCCAGCAGAUUGCUGCAGUACGCUCCUGUACCACUCCUUCCAAUGGAAGAAGGAGGGGGGCAUCUCCCUGUAUCUGCCAAUUGUGGGGUCCCUGCUCGAAAAACAGUGGCCCGACUGCCUUGGAUCAUGUUUAAGAGAUCAUUUGAAUUCGAAGUAUAAAGAAAACCUGGAAUGACCGGAGCCCAGGAACAAGUACAGCCGCCUUUGGCUGUGAUUUCAUCAGUGGGUCUGGCUGUGAAUUUUUCAAGUGAGUAGCCUCUGUAACAAGCUGCUUCUUUUCCCUGUUAUCAUAAUAGAAAGGGCAUGAUCCAGAAUCUGGUUGCAGAGGGAGGGCCGCGUGACUGUCGGAUAAGAGGAGGAGUUGCUUUGCAGGCAUGCCUGUGACUCAGCUCUGUGAAAUUCACCAACAGCCGUCCCCUAGAUAAAGACAAGUGGCAGA